Long non-coding RNA from Pyrgilauda ruficollis (rufous-necked snowfinch), 397 nucleotides. RefSeq lists it as uncharacterized. The transcript has 2 exons. Lineage: Eukaryota; Metazoa; Chordata; Aves; Passeriformes; Passeridae. The record is from RefSeq and is a predicted model, not a curated record.
GGUGGAGGACGAGGGGGGCUCGGGGGCCCCGGGGCUGCGGCUCCGGCGCAGUUUCCCCACGCGGCACCGGGAGCAGCCCCUGAGGAGCUGCUUCUGCCCCCUGAUGUCCUUCCGGCAGGGAGCCUGCGUGGUGACGGGCAGCGAGGACGCCUCCGUGCACUUCUUCGACGUGGGCCGCGCGGCGCGCGCCACGGUGAACACGCUGCAGGGCCACGGGGCCGCCGUGCUGGCCGUGGCCUUCAACUGCGACGAGUCCCUGCUGGCCUCGGGGGACGCCGCCGGCACCGUCAUCGUCUGGCGCCGCCAGCACGCCUGAGGCGCCCCGAAACCCCCACGGAGAACCCCAAAUCUGCCUGGAAACACCCCCAGAGUACCCCAAAAACCUCCCUGAAAUGCC